CAUGGUUGUCGUCAGCUCGUGUCGUGAGAUGUUGGGUUAAGUCCCGCAACGAGCGCAACCCUUGACUUUAGUUGCCAGCAGGUUGAGCUGGGCACUCUAGAGUGACUGCCGGUGACAAACCGGAGGAAGGUGGGGAUGACGUCAAAUCAUCAUGCCCCUUAUGACCUGGGCUACACACGUACUACAAUGGCCGGUACAACGGGAAGCGAAGCCGCGAGGUGGAGCCAAUCCCAGCAAAGCCGGUCUCAGUUCGGAUUGCAGGCUGCAACUCGCCUGCAUGAAGUCGGAAUUGCUAGUAAUCGCGGAUCA
RNAcentral lists this ribosomal RNA (309 nucleotides) under Paenibacillus sp. Expt2_P12WS_D03. RNAcentral's name for it is "bacterial SSU rRNA". It matches the Rfam family "Bacterial small subunit ribosomal RNA", at positions 1044 to 1351 of the family's 1533-position model. Lineage: Bacteria; Bacillati; Bacillota; Bacilli; Caryophanales; Paenibacillaceae. The record is from RNAcentral.